GUCCCUUCAGGGACAUCCGAUAAAGUUGGAACGAUAUAGAGAAGAUUAGCAUAACUCCUGUGCAAGGUUGACACGCACAAAUCAAGAAAUGGUCCAAUUUUUU
Small nuclear RNA from Lycium barbarum (goji berry), 103 nucleotides. Lineage: Eukaryota; Viridiplantae; Streptophyta; Magnoliopsida; Solanales; Solanaceae. The record is from RefSeq and is a predicted model, not a curated record.